Molecule: ribosomal RNA, 253 nt
Filed under: uncultured bacterium
Lineage: Bacteria
Description: partial 16S ribosomal RNA
Rfam family: Bacterial small subunit ribosomal RNA
Source: RNAcentral
UACGUAGGGUGCGAGCGUUAAUCGGAAUUACUGGGCGUAAAGCGUGCGCAGGCGGCUUACUAAGACAGGUGUGAAAGCCCCGAGCUUAACUUGGGAAUGGCGCUUGUGACUGGUAGGCUGGAGUGUGGCAGAGGGAGGUGGAAUUCCACGUGUAGCAGUGAAAUGCGUAGAGAUGUGGAGGAACACCGAUGGCGAAGGCGGCUCACUGGCCCGAUACUGACGCUGAGGUGCGAAAGCGUGGGGAGCAAACAGG